Long non-coding RNA from Gallus gallus (chicken), 635 nucleotides. Lineage: Eukaryota; Metazoa; Chordata; Aves; Galliformes; Phasianidae. The record is from Ensembl.
GUCCCUUCAGGCAGUGGUUCACUGCAGACCUGUCUGACUUCUUGCAACUGCAGUUAGUUUAGACUAAGAAUUGGAAUAUCUUCAUCAGUACAAUUCACUUGGGUAGUUGCUCUCCUCAACUGUGAUGAGAGUCCACAUAAGUCAGACUGUACAGACAGACUGUAAAACAAGAUCCCAAGAACUUGGCCAACUGAUGUCUGAAGAGGACUUAAAUGCCAGGACCACCACCUGCAGUAUGGGCUGACUCCCACAAUGUGGAAGAAAUCCAGAACAUCAUUUCAGAUUAAUUUCUUGACAUCUCAACUUUGUCCUGCACCCCAUCCACCAACACAGAACAUACUCAAGAGUAACAAAGAUAUUUCUGGUGACACACUGCAGCCAUGGGAAAUUGGAAUGCAAGUCAUGCCAUAUCUACUGACAGCUCAUAAAGUACUCCACAGCAGUGCAGAAGAUGUAUUUUCUAUGCCUGAAGAUCAUGUUAGCUUGGUCCGGGUUUUGCUAAAUAGUACUGAACUUUUGGCUGUUUAUUCCCAACUCUGUGAUGUCAGCUGGCCUCCCUGGAAGCCAGACUCCAAUUGCGGCAACCAUUCUGUACACGCACAUUGCAUGGAAAGAGUUACCUAGUAAUAAAAAAC